GUACAAUACAAAAAAAUAUAAUGGAUAUAUCAGACAAACAGAUAUGUACAUGCAAAAUUUUGAACAAGUCAAGGUCAGGAACUUAUGGUGGUCAAGUGUAUUGAUGGAGAUAGAUAGAUAGAUAGAUAGGAGUGUAUAUAUCACAAGCUUUAGUUUUUUAUCAUAUUUUUUUUUUUUUUAACUUCAUUACCCAUCACAAUGUAAACCAUGUGUCUCCUGAUUUCUACAUUUGCUACAUUGCAAACAUUGCAUAUUGCUUUUUUUGUGUGUGUGUGUGUGUGUUUAUGACAGUCUUCUGCUCUGUGCAUCUGCAUUAAUCAUUAUUAAUCAUUAUACACAGAGUCCCAAUCAUUCGGGUACGGGCAGUACUCCCAUAAGGGACAUGAUCAAGGAAAGGCAGAGAAAUGCUAGAACACUUUAGCCACACUCUGGAAAUCUGGAGGGUGGCUAAGACCAUGUAAAAAAAUAAAUAAAAAAAAAUAUGUCUGAUCCUUAUUAAAGUCCCAGAUGGGGACUGAAACGUUGAUCGAAUGAUCGAAUUUUUAAUGGAUUUUCAAUAAGCAUUGAACUUUUAAUUGCUAGGGCUGAUCACUACUUCAUAU
Pelobates cultripes (western spadefoot toad) is the source of this 602-nucleotide non-coding RNA. The record is from the annotation of a GenBank genome assembly. Lineage: Eukaryota; Metazoa; Chordata; Amphibia; Anura; Pelobatidae.